GAUUAACGCUGGCGGCGUGCCUAACACAUGCAAGUCGAGCGGCAGCGAGUUUUACACUGAAUUCUGGAAGCUUCUAGUUGCAAGAGAAGAUUUAUUCAAGAAUUUUGUGUAAAAUGUCGGCGAGCGGCGGACGGCUGAGUAACGCGUGGGAACGUACCCCAAAGUGAGGGAUAACGCAUCGAAAGGUGUGCUAAUACCGCAUAUGGUCUUCGGAUUAAAGCCUUCGGGCGCUUUGGGGACGGCCUGCGUAAGAUUAGAUAGUUGGUGGGGUAAUGGCCUACCAAGUCGACGAUCUUUAACUGGUUUGAGAGGAUGAUCAGUCAGACUGGAACUGAGACACGGUCCAGACUCCUACGGGAGGCAGCAGUGAGGAAUCUUCCACAAUGGGCGAAAGCCUGAUGGAGCAACGCCGCGUGCAGGAUGAAGGCCUUCGGGUUGUAAACUGCUUUUAUAAGUGAGGAUUAUGACAGUAACUUAUGAAUAAGGAUCGGCUAGCUACGUG
This 502-nucleotide ribosomal RNA is filed under the name uncultured bacterium. RNAcentral's name for it is "partial 16S ribosomal RNA". It matches the Rfam family "Bacterial small subunit ribosomal RNA", at positions 28 to 507 of the family's 1533-position model. The record is from RNAcentral.